UGAUUACCCAUCUUUCCAGGUUUGAACAGGGCUUGGAGUCGGAUUUGUUUCUGCUUCAAUGCUGUGGUGCAUAUCUUCUCCAGAGUUCUUUGUGAGGACCAUUCAAGAAAGAUUUGGUUUGUCAGAUUAUACAUCUCUGGAUCUCACUCAAUAGAAUGAGUAUGAGUCAGUUCUUAUACAAGAAAUGCUAACUUUUAUUGUGCAAUUAGUCAAAGAACGCAGAUUUUGUGGGCGUUCCACAGCAGACAACUUGAAGAGAGAAUUGAUUUAUAAAUUGGCUGUCGGAGAUGCCACCCAUAGCCAGAUUGUGAGGUCUCUUCCCCGUGACCUUUCGUCAAGCGAACAAUUUCAAGAUGUUCUAGAUUCAGUCGCAGUUUGUUCUGAUCCAUCUGGAAAGAAAAAGGGCAAGUAUGUGCUUCACGAAGCAUUCUGGAAGGAGUUGGACUUGUAUCACCCGCGAUGGAGUUCUAGGG
Molecule: long non-coding RNA, 473 nt
Organism: Triticum aestivum (bread wheat)
Lineage: Eukaryota; Viridiplantae; Streptophyta; Magnoliopsida; Poales; Poaceae
Exons: 3
Source: RefSeq, a predicted model, not a curated record